Daphnia pulicaria is the source of this 857-nucleotide long non-coding RNA. RefSeq lists it as uncharacterized. The transcript is spliced from 4 exons. Lineage: Eukaryota; Metazoa; Arthropoda; Branchiopoda; Diplostraca; Daphniidae. The record is from RefSeq and is a predicted model, not a curated record.
UUCCUAGCUUUUUGAGUCCAUUAGAUAAGUGCGCAAAUGUGCUAAAUGUUUAAUUGAAGCAUUUCUUUUUAUCUUAUAGGUUGUUUCAUGGCUUGGAAACAAGAAACUUUGAAUUGUUUCUUUCCAUGUGAAACUAUCUUUCCAUGGACUAAGAAAAGUUGUUUGUCGAGAGCUCAAGGGUAAGUGUAUAAGCUUACGAAUAUUAUAAAGUGAAGCAAUUUGUAUCGAAGAGUAAUCCUCUGCUGUGAAGUGUUCAUCCCACUGAAGCUUCCAUUGAGCACCAUGGACUAAGGAAAGAUUUUUUGUCGAAAACUAUUUGGAUUAUUUGAUGGUUAAAUAUCUAGGAAACUGCAGAAAAUAGUGUAUCAAAGAGUAAUCCUUCAUGAAGUAGCCAUCAUCGAAAGAUUAAUUCUUUGUCUAACAGUAACCAGACAUUUCUUGGCAAUUACAGAAGCAGUGAUGAUUGCCUUCACAAACGUAAUUGCCACAUCAAUAAGCACCAAAAAAAAUGAAAUGCAUAUUGCGUGAGUGUCUGAUCAGCGGUUUUACGAUUUCACCGGAAACAAUAAUUUGCUGGACGUCUUCGCCAAUUUUGAUCCGACAUUUACUUUCGUCGGAGUUAUCAAUGGAGCUCCAUUACAUCUCGCUCUUUACGUUUCGCUCGUCUCGUAACUGUCGGGUCGCCGAUAACGAAACCAACAAUUUGGUGACAUCAAAUUAACAUGUUUACAGAAGCAAGACAGUCUCAUUUUCUCAUAUGUUGAAUAAGUUUAUUGUAAGUGUAUCUCAACUACUUUUCAACGAAUUUAUUCCGCCAGCCCUCAUACAUACUGAGAAGUGGUCGAUGCUUUCGUAUU